Molecule: ribosomal RNA, 301 nt
Filed under: uncultured bacterium
Lineage: Bacteria
Description: partial 16S ribosomal RNA
Rfam family: Bacterial small subunit ribosomal RNA
Source: RNAcentral
CAGUAGCCACGGUAAUACGAAGGGUGCAAGCGUUAAUCGGAAUUACUGGGCGUAAAGCGUGCGUAGGCGGUGAGUUAAGUCUGCUGUGAAAUCCCCGGGCUCAACCUGGGAAUGGCAGUGGAUACUGGCUCGCUAGAGUGUGUCAGAGGAUGGUGGAAUUCCCGGUGUAGCGGUGAAAUGCGUAGAGAUCGGGAGGAACAUCAGUGGCGAAGGCGGCCAUCUGGGACAACACUGACGCUGAGGCACGAAAGCGUGGGGAGCAAACAGGAUUAGAUACCCGGGUAGUCCCUGUCUCUUAUAC